GGGCACUUGGCGCAGUGGUAGCGCGCUUCGUUCACAUCGAAGAGGUCACAGGUUCGAACCCUGUAGUGCCCA
This 72-nucleotide transfer RNA is filed under the name Candidatus Wildermuthbacteria bacterium RIFCSPHIGHO2_01_FULL_48_25. Its description in RNAcentral is "tRNA-Val". It matches the Rfam family "tRNA". From Rfam's summary of the family: Transfer RNA (tRNA) molecules are approximately 80 nucleotides in length. Lineage: Bacteria; Candidatus Wildermuthiibacteriota. RNAcentral also lists the same sequence under 4 other names. The record is from RNAcentral.